This 30-nucleotide non-coding RNA is filed under the name Mus musculus (house mouse). Lineage: Eukaryota; Metazoa; Chordata; Mammalia; Rodentia; Muridae. The record is from RNAcentral.
UGAUUGGGAAAGUCAUUGACUACAGAUAGG